Dermochelys coriacea (leatherback sea turtle) is the source of this 582-nucleotide non-coding RNA. The record is from the annotation of a RefSeq genome assembly. Lineage: Eukaryota; Metazoa; Chordata; Testudines; Dermochelyidae.
AUGCAAAUGAGGGAGACAAUUUCCUCUUUAAAGCUGAGCCUCUCUGUGUCCAGGCUGCACCCGGAGACACAAUCCGCAGCCCCUCGGUCGGUGCAGUCACCAGCCAGUCCCCGGAGAACUUUCCUCUCCAACCCCAAGGAAAAUGGGAUUUUUGCUCCUUGUAAUUGUCGCUGUCGCAGCUUUGGAAGGUGUCCGGUCCCAGACGCUGGUGGUGUCCGGUCCCAGACGCUUGUGGAGUCCGGAGGGGGUGUGAAGAAGCCCGGAGACUCUCUGCGCCUCUCCUGCAAAGCCUCCGGCUUCACCUUCAGCAGCUACGGGAUGGGCUGGGUCCGCCAGGCUCCCGGGAAGGGGCUGGAAUGGGUCGCUGCUAUAAACACCGGUGGGAGUAGUACAUACUACCUCGAUUCAGUGAAAGGGCGAUUCACCAUCUCCAGGGAUAACUCCAAGAGUGAGCUGUAUCUGCAAAUGACCGGCCUGAAGCCCGACGACACCGCCCGCUAUUACUGCGCGAGAGACACAGAACCCGGUGGGAUUUCAUGGGGUCUCUCAGGGGGAGGCGGCUGCUGAGGGAGAAGUUGAGGC